CUCGAAAGAGAGCCGUAACACAGGUGCUGCAUGGCUGUCGUCAGCUCGUGUCGUGAGAUGUUGGGUUAAGUCCCGCAACGAGCGCAACCCUUGUCAUUAGUUGCUACAUUCAGUUGGGCACUCUAAUGAGACUGCCGGUGACAAGCCGGAGGAAGGUGGGGAUGACGUCAAGUCCUCAUGGCCCUUAUAGGUGGGGCUACACACGUCAUACAAUGGCUGGUACAAAGGGUUGCCAACCCGCGAGGGGGAGCCAAUCCCACAAAGCCGGUCGUAGUCCGGAUCGCAGUCUGCAACUCGACUGCGUGAAGUCGGAAUCGCUAGUAAUCGCGGAUCAGCAUGUCGCGGUGAAUACGUUCCCGGGUCUU
This 365-nucleotide ribosomal RNA is filed under the name uncultured Acidovorax sp. RNAcentral's name for it is "bacterial SSU rRNA". It matches the Rfam family "Bacterial small subunit ribosomal RNA", at positions 1014 to 1382 of the family's 1533-position model. Lineage: Bacteria; Pseudomonadati; Pseudomonadota; Betaproteobacteria; Burkholderiales; Comamonadaceae. The record is from RNAcentral.